Molecule: long non-coding RNA, 475 nt
Filed under: Sus scrofa (pig)
Lineage: Eukaryota; Metazoa; Chordata; Mammalia; Artiodactyla; Suidae
Description: lncRNA (ENSSSCG00070012521.1)
Source: RNAcentral
CUGUCAUGCUGCCAAGCCCCUUCCUUCUCUCACUACCUCUGGUCCCCCCAAAACGGCAGCUCUCCAGGCCAGGUCACAUUGUCUCAGAGCUGAGGGGAGAUGACGUCAACUCCCAGGCAUUUCUGGUUCUCCAUCUGGACAAGGAGGCUGCAGCAGCUCGAGAACACACCUCUGAAGAAAAUCUCAGAGUCAGCCCUUAACAGCAAAACAAUAAUCAAGGUCAUAGCCAUACCGACACAACCAAAGGUGGAUUAUUGCCGUGUGGUGAAGCCGAGGGUUCCUGGUGUGAGUGAUCCCGGGAGUCCGUUCCCACGAAACCUGGAAUAUUGGGCUUUCCAAAAGAAGGCCUUGGUUCUACCAUGAAUACUUCCUUUGUGCCUGGUCUUUUGUGUGUCCUUGGCACCCAGAAGAGGGCUGGGCACAGAAGAUGUGUUUCGACCAGAGAAUGAAUAAAAAGCACAUGCUUCUCUCUACA